CGUAUUAUAGCUUAAAGUAAGCUUUAUUAUUUACAUUAAUAAAUUAAUUGUGCAAUUCAAUUUGAUUCGA
This 70-nucleotide transfer RNA is filed under the name Scotomedes sp. Its description in RNAcentral is "tRNA-Val". The record is from RNAcentral. Lineage: Eukaryota; Metazoa; Arthropoda; Insecta; Hemiptera; Velocipedidae.